Long non-coding RNA from Leptidea sinapis, 690 nucleotides. RefSeq lists it as uncharacterized. The transcript has 2 exons. NCBI's taxonomy places the organism in Eukaryota, Metazoa, Arthropoda, Insecta, Lepidoptera, Pieridae. The record is from RefSeq and is a predicted model, not a curated record.
GAUUCGUGAAGAAAUCAAAUGGCUCAAUUAUUCUUCUGUACAAUGGUUACAAGUACAGUAAAAAUGGAUUGAUUGGAAAGGGCGGUACUCGCUUUGCAUGCUCGAAGCUAUUUUCAAUGAAAUGCAAAGCAUUUAUUCAUGUGUCUAAAGAUAACAUUUUUAUCAAGGCGAAUACGGAGCAUAAUCAUAUACGACCUAGGUUUAUUGUGAAAAAUAAUACCUUCUUUGACUUGUAAUUCUUAUGGAAGCUUAACGUAAAUAAAGCUCACUUCAUAACUCUCGUGUCAGGGAAGAAAUUACUCAUGUACAAAGGCUAUACUUACUCGCGAAAUGGGAAUAUACGAGGCGGCGGAUCUCGCUAUGCGUGUUCAUUGCUCAGUAAAGGAUGCAAGGCAUAUCUUCAUCUCACUUGGGAUAAUAUACUGUUGUUUGCGAAGGAUGUACAUCCUCACGAGCCUCUCAAAUUUACGUUGACUCAAAGUGGAUAUGUAAGAGCUACAAGUCUAUCCUCUAUACCGAUGAGAUUGAUUAUACCUGCCAGAGGACGCAAUAGAACUAAGAGGUCUCGCCAGCAGAGCCGGUCCGAUUGAGAAGCUACUAACAAACACAAUUGAAUGAUAUCACAGUGAUAUAUUAUUCCCAAAAAAGUUUAGGUUCAGUAACGGCAAAUAUAUGCAGUUGUGAUAAAAA